UUCCGGUUGAUCCUGCCGGACGGGCACCGCUAUCGGUAUGCGAUUAAGGCAUGCGAGUCGAGAGGUGCAAGACCUCGGCUGACGGCUGAGUAACACGCGGAUAACCUGCCCUGAAGUGGAGGAUAAUCUCGGGAAACUGAGGAUAAUACUCCAUAGGUGUGGUGUGCUGGAAUGCUUCCACGCUGAAAGCUCCGGCGCUUCAGGAUGGGUCUGCGGCCUAUCAGGCUGUAGUGGGUGUAACGGACCCACUAACCUACGACGGGUAGGGGCGUUGAGAGACGGAGCCCCCAGAUGGAUUCUGAGACACGAAUCCAGGCCCUACGGGGCGCAGCAGCUACGAAAACUGCACAAUGUGGGAAACCACGAUGCGGGCAUACCGAGUGCCAACGCAUUGCGUUGGCUGUUCUCCCGCCUAAAAAGCGAGAGAAGUAAGGGCCGGGUAAGACGGAUGCCAGCCGCCGCGGUAAUACCCGCGGCCCGAGUGGUGCUCAUUAUUAUUGAGCUUAAAGCGUCCGUAGCCGGCCUCGUAAAUCUUUGGGUAAAUCGGGCAGCUCAACUGUUCGAAUUCCGAGGAGACUGCGAGGCUCGGGACCGGGAGAGGUUCGAGGUACUCCGGGGGUAGGGGUAAAAUCCUGUAAUCCUUGGGGGACCACCGGUGGCGAAGGCGUCCGACCAGAACGGGUCCGACGGCAAGGGACGAAGCCCUGGGGCGCGAACCGGAUUAGAUACCCGGGUAGUCCAGGGUGUAAACGCUGUGCGCUUGGUGUUGGGGGUCCUUUGAGGGCAUCCAGUGCCGGAGAGAAGUUGUUAAGCGCACCGCCUGGGGAGUACGGUCGCAAGACUGAAACUUAAAGGAAUUGGCGGGGGGAGCACCGCAACGGGAGGAGCGUGCGGUUUAAUUGGAGUCAACGCCGGA
This 916-nucleotide ribosomal RNA is filed under the name uncultured archaeon. Its description in RNAcentral is "bacterial SSU rRNA". It matches the Rfam family "Archaeal small subunit ribosomal RNA", at positions 1 to 922 of the family's 1478-position model. The record is from RNAcentral.